This is a long non-coding RNA of Acanthaster planci (crown-of-thorns starfish), 3486 nucleotides long. The record is from RefSeq and is a predicted model, not a curated record. Lineage: Eukaryota; Metazoa; Echinodermata; Asteroidea; Valvatida; Acanthasteridae.
ACACAUGCACGCGCGCGUGGACGUAAGCCAGGCCUAGGCUUUGCCCGGGGAUUUCGUCGUGUUUUUCCAGAGAAUACUGAGCUUAACAGAUGCCAGUUGUAGAUACUCGUCCAGUUUGCCGGCAUCCAGUGCCUUGGACACUUCCACCAUACCGGGACGGAACGGCUUGUUGAAGAAGCGAUCGUACGUCGUGUGCCGCCGCAGAUGCUUCUGAUGGGUUGAGGACAAAGGAACUACGAAUAGAACAAAACAUGGAUAGCAGCAAAUUGCGCACCUACAGAGCUCGGGGAAGGGAUAGGCAUCUGUAUCUCCACCAAGGGAAUUGCGAAUUAUUUAAAACCGUCUGUUUUGUUGUAUUGCGAAGUCAUGUUAGGGAAAAGAUGAUGGGUAGUAAUGCUGCUCUUCGUUUGACAGUAUACAGAGACCUCACUGAAAAAUUGUGUUAUCACUGAUAGCUGUUCAGUCGACAGCACUCGCAGCCAAACGAAACUGUAGCAACUUUCGCCUCGCGAAUUUUUCCUGAGUGUCGAUUUGGACUCUGCAACAUUAUUAUAAUUAUAUACCGUACCUUGUAGUUGUACACGCACGAUAAAAUGUCAUCAGUCUUCGCUUUUAGUAUACGUAAAGAUUGGUGCAUACAUAAGGCAAAUGCAGAAUCGGAAACGAAGCGAAUUUGACGUCCCUGAAAAUGUGCAGCGAAAUUUCGCCCGAAUUGAAAUGCAUUCAACCUGUGCAAAAUUCGCAGCCGGAAUAUUUGAUCCGACGUCACAAAUUUGCGUUAGCAAAGCCUCAACUGGCCUUUAGUGCACUGUAGUGAGUGAUUUUUUAAGUACCAUUUGGCAGUCCAUUAUAUUUUUCUUUAAUCUGUUCCAUGGUAAAUUAACUUAACUUCAUAUCUGCAUUCAUUUUUUUGAAAGAGAGACACAAUAUUUCCAUUAAUUUUACCCGCCUUCACUUUUUUCUAGGGUACAAAACUAAUGAAGACUCAAACUGAACUAAUAAGGGUACAGUAUUAAAACUCAACCUGUUUUUGUAGUUGGUACCUAAGCAAAUUAUAUAAUGGUUGUGAUGAGUCUUGAAUAAUUCUGCGAACCUUCAGCAGAACCUGCUUUUCAUAUAAAGAAGAUAUUGUGGGUAAAUUAGUAUGAGUAAUUCGCCGAGGUAUCUUCCUUUUUCGUUCCAGUUUCUUCAGGCUUCCAUUUGACAAAUUACCAAAGAAGCACAGUAAGUUUAAUGCGACAAUACGCUCUGUAAGUUUGGUUUUAAAAAAAGUACAUAAACGGUAUUGUCUACUCAGAAUUCCGUUAAUUUUCUCAAAAAGAACAUCCACAGGUUAGCUUUUUUUGCUAAAGACUGCAAGUUUCUAUUCAAGUGCAGCUCGUCAUCAAUUAUUAUCCCCAAGUAUUCGUACUUAGUAAGGACAUUGGUAAACGCUUUUUUUAAAAAUAAACAUUUUGUUCGUCCGUUUUCCACACCCCUGCGUUCGAACCUCUAGCCUACUGGAUGGGCCCGUCAAUGGGGGGGGGGGAAACUGCCCCCAUUAUUAAAAAGCAUAAGCAUGAAAUAUAUAAUUUGUUCCUGUGAAUUGGCCCCCUCAAGCUGAUACUGUUCCCCCCUUAAUGCCUGAAGCUGGCAACGGUGCUGGAAGCUACUUCUAACAGGAGUUAUUGUAAUUACGUGCCUCACUUUUCCUGUUCAAGGCGUUGUGCAGAAGAUAUCGCUGUCACGCGCCCUUGGAUGGGGCUAGUAGGAAAUAAGAGCGACCACAUUUUUUUUUCCUCCACCAAGGAUGUAUGCAUUUUUUGUUGACUGGGUCGAAGUUUAUUUCAAGGAUGGAGCCCAAAAUUAAUGGGUCGAAGUUCGUUUCAAAUUAUGAACACUUGGUUGGGGCAGUAGGCCUAUACCUUCUCACAAAAAGAGAGAGCUGGUCGGGGUUAGGUAAGACAUCUGUGCGUCUCACAAUAAUCUCCGGGGUGCAUUGUGAACCAGGUCAUCUGCAGUAGGCAUGCACGCGCACGCCAUGGUGGUGAACGCACGAAAUAAAACAUUCGGUAUCUACCAUUAUGAUGCGCGACAUGCGGCAAAGCCCCCCCCCCCAUUGUGUCUUCUUUUGUGUUGAUGGGAUCUUUGGAAUUCCUUUCAGAUUUCCGAGGGGUUGCAGUAGGCACAAUUGCUUUCACAUGGGGGUCCCCUUUACUAGAUAUCGUGCUGGGUAUCACACAUUGUUACCUCUCAGCUGUAAUUUUAAGCAUUUAAGGCAAUUUUUAAAGCUAACAACCAUACCAGCCAUCUUUGCUUCUAUAUGUAUUUCAAUACAAUAUUAGCCGAUUUAAAUAAUCAUGAUGUGUUUUCAUACAGUAGUCGCAUAGCUACCACAAAGUGUACAUAUUUUGUUUAUCUUUUAUUUAUUCUUUCAUCCGUGCCUCUGGGGGAUAAACAUUACAGCAGCGUCGCCAGACAAGUGAUAAAACGUGAUGGAAACCUUGGAACAUGGCGUACAGACUCCCCACUAACCGCACUAGUCAUCCCGUUCCGUUGGUUUACGCUAUCGUUACUGAAUCGGAAGAAAACAUGUUUGAAAAUAGUAUCGGUGGCUCAGCAGCGGCUAAACGGCGUCCUUAGGAGUUACAUCAGUAAUUUCUAGAGAUAUUUUGAAUCUGCGAGGUUUGCUUGUUUGGUUUCGGUUUGUCUAAAGCAUGUUCCGGUUUGCCCUCUAUUAAUUAUGUGACAUGAAAAAGCAUGGAAACAUUAGCCAGGGAACGUGACCAAAAAACCUUUAAGGUUUCUUUGUGGGUUCCAUCUAUCCAGUAAUGAGAAUAAAGGAAAUAGGAACUUCGUAAACUUGUCCUUUGGGUAAUAUAGUUAACAUGAUUUGAAAAGCAGAACUGGAUGCUGAACCACGUCGUAUGUUUGCACGCCUCCCUGUACAAAAUAGUUGCAUGUAAUGUUAUUUUCUUGCCUGUUUAAGGUCAACUAAUUAACUUUUUAAGUCAUAAUUUUCCAUGUGGCAGUUUCUGGUUAGGGUUAGCGGCAUAUAUUGUUAUUUUCUUACCUGUUUAAGGCCACUUUUAAUCAACUUUUUAAGUGAUAGUUUUCCGUGUGGCAGUUUCUGGUUUGUUAGUUUGAUGCCAAAUCAGUAUACAGAACAGUCUGAGUAAGUCAUGCUGCCCCUUGAUGAAACAUGGGCUAGGUUUAUAUUUAACCUACAGGCAAUUAUAGUCAGCACUGAGUUAAUUUUAAAGAUGUAGAUUUGGCUUCUGUUUUGUCUGUAAUUACCCCAGAUUCAUAGGGUUUCUAGCUCAGUACUUUUAAGUUAUGUUCUUCACGGGUUUUAUAAUAAUACAAGGACCGUCUUAUCAUAAAUUAUUAAGCAAUAGCGAGCAAGUAAACGAUAAAGGUAAUAAGUAAUACAGACGCCUUUUUUCACAGGCCGAUUGAACGUCCGAACCUUCGUUUUUAUUUUGAAUAAUAUGAAAAAUACAUUUA